This 497-nucleotide ribosomal RNA is filed under the name uncultured bacterium. RNAcentral describes it as "partial 16S ribosomal RNA". It matches the Rfam family "Bacterial small subunit ribosomal RNA", at positions 28 to 507 of the family's 1533-position model. The record is from RNAcentral.
GACGAACGCUGACGGCGUGCCUAAUACAUGCAAGUAGAACGCUGAAGAGAGGAGCUUGCUCUUCUUGGCUGAGUUGCGAACGGGUGAGUAACGCGUAGGUAACCUGCCUUGUAGCGGGGGAUAACUAUUGGAAACGAUAGCUAAUACCGCAUAACAAUGGAUGACACAUGUCAUUUAUUUGAAAGGGGCAAUUGCUCCACUACAAGAUGGACCUGCGUUGUAUUAGCUAGUAGGUGAGGUAACGGCUCACCUAGGCGACGAUACAUAGCCGACCUGAGAGGGUGAUCGGCCACACUGGGACUGAGACACGGCCCAGACUCCUACGGGAGGCAGCAGUAGGGAAUCUUCGGCAAUGGGGGCAACCCUGACCGAGCAACGCCGCGUGAGUGAAGAAGGUUUUCGGAUCGUAAAGCUCUGUUGUAAGUCAAGAACGAGUGUGAGAGUGGAAAGUUCACACUGUGACGGUAGCUUACCAGAAAGGGACGGCUAACUACGUG